RNAcentral lists this ribosomal RNA (268 nucleotides) under Acinetobacter baumannii. RNAcentral's name for it is "partial 23S ribosomal RNA". It matches the Rfam family "Bacterial large subunit ribosomal RNA", at positions 451 to 722 of the family's 2925-position model. The record is from RNAcentral. Lineage: Bacteria; Pseudomonadati; Pseudomonadota; Gammaproteobacteria; Moraxellales; Moraxellaceae.
GACCAUCCUCCAAGGCUAAAUACUCCUGACUGACCGAUAGUGAACCAGUACCGUGAGGGAAAGGCGAAAAGAACCCCUGUGAGGGGAGUGAAAUAGAUCCUGAAACCGCAUGCAUACAAGCAGUGGGAGCACCUUCGUGGUGUGACUGCGUACCUUUUGUAUAAUGGGUCAGCGACUUAUAUUCAGUAGCAAGGUUAACCGUAUAGGGGAGCCGUAGAGAAAUCGAGUCUUAAUAGGGCGUUUAGUUGCUGGGUAUAGACCCGAAACC